This 426-nucleotide ribosomal RNA is filed under the name uncultured bacterium. RNAcentral describes it as "bacterial SSU rRNA". It matches the Rfam family "Bacterial small subunit ribosomal RNA", at positions 28 to 444 of the family's 1533-position model. The record is from RNAcentral.
GAUGAACGCUGGCGGCAUGCCUAAUACAUGCAAGUCGAACGAGAGGAAGGAAAGCUUGUUUUUCUGAAUCUAGUGGCGAACGGGUGAGUAACACGUAGGUAACCUGCCCAUGUGCCCGGGAUAACUUCUGGAAACGGAUGCUAAAACCGGAUAGGUAGCAGACAAGCAUUUGACUGCUAUUAAAGUGGCUAAGGCCAUGAACAUGGAUGGACCUGCGGUGCAUUAGCUAGUUGGUGAGGUAACGGCCCACCAAGGCGACGAUGCAUAGCCGGCCUGAGAGGGCGGACGGCCACAUUGGGACUGAGACACGGCCCAAACUCCUACGGGAGGCAGCAGUAGGGAAUUUUCGUCAAUGGGGGGAACCCUGAACGAGCAAUGCCGCGUGAGUGAGGAAGGUCUUCGGAUCGUAAAGCUCUGUUGUAAAGA